This 493-nucleotide ribosomal RNA is filed under the name fungal sp. E15130H. RNAcentral's name for it is "eukaryotic LSU rRNA". The stretch from base 153 to 306 matches the Rfam family "5.8S ribosomal RNA". The record is from RNAcentral. Lineage: Eukaryota; Fungi.
AUUACCGAGUUUACAACUCCCAAACCCCUGUGAACAUACCAAUUGUUGCCUCGGCGGAUCAGCCCGCUCCCGGUAAAACGGGACGGCCCGCCAGAGGACCCCUAAACUCUGUUUCUAUAUGUAACUUCUGAGUAAAACCAUAAAUAAAUCAAAACUUUCAACAACGGAUCUCUUGGUUCUGGCAUCGAUGAAGAACGCAGCAAAAUGCGAUAAGUAAUGUGAAUUGCAGAAUUCAGUGAAUCAUCGAAUCUUUGAACGCACAUUGCGCCCGCCAGUAUUCUGGCGGGCAUGCCUGUUCGAGCGUCAUUUCAACCCUCAAGCCCAGCUUGGUGUUGGGACUCGCGAGUCAAAUCGCGUUCCCCAAAUUGAUUGGCGGUCACGUCGAGCUUCCAUAGCGUAGUAGUAAAACCCUCGUUACUGGUAAUCGUCGCGGCCACGCCGUUAAACCCCAACUUCUGAAUGUUGACCUCGGAUCAGGUAGGAAUACCCGCUG